RNAcentral lists this ribosomal RNA (933 nucleotides) under uncultured bacterium. RNAcentral's name for it is "bacterial SSU rRNA". It matches the Rfam family "Bacterial small subunit ribosomal RNA", at positions 52 to 978 of the family's 1533-position model. The record is from RNAcentral.
CACAUGCAGUCGAGGGGCAGCAUGGUCUUAGCUUGCUAAGGCCGAUGGCGACCGGCGCACGGGUGAGUAACACGUAUCCAACCUGCCGUCUACUCUUGGACAGCCUUCUGAAAGGAAGAUUAAUACAAGAUGGCAUCAUGAGUCCGCAUGUUCACAUGAUUAAAGGUAUUCCGGUAGACGAUGGGGAUGCGUUCCAUUAGAUAGUAGGCGGGGUAACGGCCCACCUAGUCUUCGAUGGAUAGGGGUUCUGAGAGGAAGGUCCCCCACAUUGGAACUGAGACACGGUCCAAACUCCUACGGGAGGCAGCAGUGAGGAAUAUUGGUCAAUGGGCGAGAGCCUGAACCAGCCAAGUAGCGUGAAGGAUGACUGCCCUAUGGGUUGUAAACUUCUUUUAUAAAGGAAUAAAGUCGGGUAUGCAUACCCGUUUGCAUGUACUUUAUGAAUAAGGAUCGGCUAACUCCGUGCCAGCAGCCGCGGUAAUACGGAGGAUCCGAGCGUUAUCCGGAUUUAUUGGGUUUAAAGGGAGCGUAGAUGGAUGUUUAAGUCAGUUGUGAAAGUUUGCGGCUCAACCGUAAAAUUGCAGUUGAUACUGGAUAUCUUGAGUGCAGUUGAGGCAGGCGGAAUUCGUGGUGUAGCGGUGAAAUGCUUAGAUAUCACGAAGAACUCCGAUUGCGAAGGCAGCCUGCUAAGCUGCAACUGACAUUGAGGCUCGAAAGUGUGGGUAUCAAACAGGAUUAGAUACCCUGGUAGUCCACACGGUAAACGAUGAAUACUCGCUGUUUGCGAUAUACGGCAAGCGGCCAAGCGAAAGCGUUAAGUAUUCCACCUGGGGAGUACGCCGGCAACGGUGAAACUCAAAGGAAUUGACGGGGGCCCGCACAAGCGGAGGAACAUGUGGUUUAAUUCGAUGAUACGCGAGGAACCUUACCCGG